This 4415-nucleotide small RNA is filed under the name Arabidopsis thaliana (thale cress). RNAcentral describes it as "ATSL163510". The record is from RNAcentral. Lineage: Eukaryota; Viridiplantae; Streptophyta; Magnoliopsida; Brassicales; Brassicaceae.
AAAAUAGAGAAAACCGGAAAAAAGAGGGAUGCAACACGAGGACUUUCCGGGAGGUCACCCAUCCUAGUACUACUUUCGCCCAAGCACCCUUAACUGCGGAGUUCUGAUGGGAUCCGGUGCAUUAGUGCUGGUAUGAUCGCAUGUGUUACUACAUGCAAUGUAAUCAUAUUUCUUGUUAUUUAAAGAUUUUAUGAUCCAUUUGCCGUGGGUCCCACCAUCUAUGUAGGAAUACCUUAUCUUCUUUAUAGGAGCUUUGAUACAUGCAAAAUAUUGGAAAACAAUAUCCGAACAUAUAUCUUUCCCCCCGUAAUAUAGCAAAGAUCGCGAAAAGGCCCGAAAAAGUACAUUUAGGUCAAAAUUUGGAGAGGAAAAAAAAAGCAAUAGAAGAAUUCCAUUUUCCUUCCUCAGUCAUCGGAGAGCUCUCUUUGGGCUUUCCGAAAAGGUAUCACAUGCCAAGUUUGGCCUCAUGGUCUAAAAGUUAUAGAGCCAUACAUUUUUAACAAAACAAAAUAGAGAAAAACCAAAAAAAGAGAGGGAUGCAACACGAGGACUUUCCGGGAGGUCACCCAUCCUAGUACUACUCUCGCCCAAGCACCCUUAACUGCGGAGUUCUGAUGGGAUCCAGUGCAUUAGUGCUGGUAUGAUCGCAUGUGUUACUACAUGCAAUGUAAUCGUAUCUAUUCUUUUUUAAAGAUUAUAUGAUCCAUUUGCCGUGGGUCCCACCAGCUAUGUAGGAAUACCCUAUCUUCUUUAUAAGAGCUUUGAUACAUGCAAAAUAUUGGAAAACAAUGUCCGAACAUAUAAUUUUCCCCCCGUAAUAUAGCAAAGAUCACGAAAAGGCCCAAAAAAGUACAUUUAGGUCAAAAUUUGGAGUUGAAAAAAAACAAAAAGAAGAAUUCCAUUUUCCUUCCUCAUUCAUUGGAGAGCUCUCUUUGGGCUUUCCGAAAAGGUAUCACAUGCCAUGUUUAGCCUCACGGUCUAAAAGUUAUAGAGUCAUACAUUUUUAACAAAACAAAAUAGAGAAAAACCAAAAAAACGAGGGAUGCAACACGAGGACUUUCUGGGAAGUCACCCAUCCUAGUACUACUCUCGCCCAAGCACCCUUAACUGCGGAGUUCUGAUGGGAUCCGGUGCAUUAGUGCUGGUAUGAUCGCAUGUGUUACUACAUGCAAUGUAAUCGUAUCUAUUGCUUUUAAAGACUUUAUGAUCCAUUUGCCGUGGGUCCCACCAGCUAUGUAGGAAUACCCUAUCUUCUUUAUAAGAGUUUUCAUACAUGCAAAAUAUUGGAAAACAAUGUCCGAACAUAUAAUUUUCCCCCCGUAAUAUAGCAAAGAUCACGAAAAGGCCCAAAAAAGUACAUUUAGUUCAAAAUUUGGAGUAGAAAAAAAAAUAAUAGAAAAUUUCCAAUUUCCUUCUUCAUUCAUCGGAGAGCUCUCUUUGGGCUUUCCGAAAAGGUAUCACAUGCCAAGUUUGGCCUCACGGUCUAAAAGUUAUAAAGUCAUACAUUUUUAACAAAACAAAAUAGAGAAAAACGGAAAAAGAGGGAUGCAACACGUGGACUUUCCGGGAGGUCACCCAUCCUAGUACUACUCUCGUCCAAGGACCCUUAACUGCGGAGUUCUGUUGGGAUCCGUUGCAUUAGUGCUGGUAUGAUCGCAUGUGUUACUACAUGCAAUGUAAUCGUAUCUAUUCUUUUUUAAAGACUUUAUGAUCCAUUUGCCGUGGGUCCCACCAACUAUGUAGGAAUACCCUAUCUUCUUUAUAAGAGCUUUGAUACAUGCAAAAUAUUGGAAAACAAUGUCCGAACACAUAAUUUUUCCCCCAUAAUAUAACAAAGAUCACGAAAAGGCCCGAAAUAGUACAUUUAGUUCAAAAUUUGGAGUAGAAAAAAAACCAGUUUAAGAAUUCCAUUUUCCUUCCUCAUUCAUCGGAGAGCUCUCUUUGGACUUUCCGAAAAGGUAUCACAUGCCAAGUUUGGCCUCACGGUCUAAAAGUUAUAGAGUCAUACAUUUUUAACAAAACAAAAUAGAGAAAAACAGAAAAAAGAGGGAUGCAACACGAGGACUUUCCGGGAGGUCACCCAUCCUAGUACUACUCUCGCCCAAGCACCCUUAACUGCAGAGUUCUGCUGGGAUCCGGUGCAUUAGUGCUGGUAUGAUCGCAUCUGUUACUACAUGCAAUGUAAUCGUAUCUAUUCUUUUUUAAAGCUUUUAUGAUCCAUUUGCCGUGGGUCCCACCAGCUAUGUAGGAAUACCCUAUCUUCUUUAUAAGAGCUUUGAUACAUGCAAAAUAUUGGAAAACAAUGUCCGAACAUAUAAUUUCCCCCCUCGUAAUAUAGCAAAGAUCACAAAAAGGCUCGAAAAAGUACAUUUAGUUCAAAAUUUGGAGUAGAAAAAAACCAACAGAAAAAUUCCAAUUUCCUCCCUCAUUCAUCGGAGAGCUCUCUUUGGGCUUUCCAAAAAGGUAUCACAUGCCAAGUUUGGCCUCACGGUCUAAAAGUUAUAGAGUCAUACAUUUUUAACAAAACAAAAUAGAGAAAAACGGAAAAAAGAGGGAUGCAACACGAGGACUUUCCGGGAGGUCACCCAUCCUAGUACUACUCUCGUCCAAGGACCCUUAACUGCGAAGUUCUGAUGGGAUCCGUUGCAUUAGUGCUGGUAUGAUCGCAUGUGUUACUACAUGCAAUGUAAUCGUAUCUAUUCUUUUUUAAAGACUUUAUGAUCCAUUUGCCGUGGGUCCCACCAGCUAUAUAGGAAAACCCAAUCUUCUUUAUAAGAGCUUUGAUACAUGCAAAAUAUUGGAAAACAAUGUCCGAACAUAUAAUUUUCCCCCAUAAUAUAGCAAAGAUCACGAAAAGGCCCGAAAAAGUACAUUUAGUUCAAAAUUUGGAGUAGAAAAAAAGACAGUAAAAGAAUUCCAUUUUCCUUCCUCAGUGAUCGGAGAGCUCUCUUUGGACUUUCCGAAAAGGUAUCACAUGCCAAGUUUGGCCUCACGGUCUAAAAGUUAUAGAGUCAUACAUUUUUAACAAAACAAAAUAGAGAAAAACGGAAAAAAGAGGGAUGCAACACGAGGACUUUCCGGGAGGUCACCCAUCCUAGUACUACUUUCGCCCAAGCACCCUUAACUGCGGAGUUCUGAUGGGAUCCGGUGCAUUAGUGCUGGUAUGAUCGCAUGUGUUACUACAUGCAAUGUAAUCAUAUUUCUUGUUAUUUAAAGAUUUUAUGAUCCAUUUGCCGUGGGUCCCACCAUCUAUGUAGGAAUACCUUAUCUUCUUUAUAGGAGCUUUGAUACAUGCAAAAUAUUGGAAAACAAUAUCCGAACAUAUAUCUUUCCCCCCGUAAUAUAGCAAAGAUCGCGAAAAGGCCCGAAAAAGUACAUUUAGGUCAAAAUUUGGAGAAGAAAAAAAAAGCAAUAGAAGAAUUCCAUUUUCCUUCCUCAGUCAUCGGAGAGCUCUCUUUGGGCUUUCCGAAAAGGUAUCACAUGCCAAGUUUGGCCUCAUGGUCUAAAAGUUAUAGAGCCAUACAUUUUUAACAAAACAAAAUAGAGAAAAACCAAAAAAAGAGAGGGAUGCAACACGAGGACUUUCCGGGAGGUCACCCAUCCUAGUACUACUCUCGCCCAAGCACCCUUAACUGCGGAGUUCUGAUGGGAUCCAGUGCAUUAGUGCUGGUAUGAUCGCAUGUGUUACUACAUGCAAUGUAAUCGUAUCUAUUCUUUUUUAAAGAUUAUAUGAUCCAUUUGCCGUGGGUCCCACCAGCUAUGUAUGAAUACCCUAUCUUCUUUAUAAGAGCUUUGAUACAUGCAAAAUAUUGGAAAACAAUGUCCGAACAUAUAAUUUUCCCCCCGUAAUAUAGCAAAGAUCACGAAAAGGCCCAAAAAAGUACAUUUAGGUCAAAAUUUGGAGUUGAAAAAAAACAAAAAGAAGAAUUCCAUUUUCCUUCCUCAUUCAUUGGAGAGCUCUCUUUGGGCUUUCCGAAAAGGUAUCACAUGCCAUGUUUAGCCUCACGGUCUAAAAGUUAUAGAGUCAUACAUUUUUAACAAAACAAAAUAGAGAAAAACCAAAAAAACGAGGGAUGCAACACGAGGACUUUCUGGGAAGUCACCUAUCCUAGUACUACUCUCGCCCAAGCACCCUUAACUGCGGAGUUCUGAUGGGAUCCGGUGCAUUAGUGCUGGUAUGAUCGCAUGUGUUACUACAUGCAAUGUAAUCGUAUCUAUUGCUUUUAAAGACUUUAUGAUCCAUUUGCCGUGGGUCCCACCAGCUAUGUAGGAAUACCCUAUCUUCUUUAUAAGAGUUUUCAUACAUGCAAAAUAUUGGAAAACAAUGUCCGAACAUAUAAUUUUCCCCCCGUAUAUAGCAAAGAUCACGAAAAGGCCCAAAAAAGUCCUUUAAGGUCAAAAUUUGAAGUUGAAAA